Molecule: ribosomal RNA, 447 nt
Filed under: uncultured bacterium
Lineage: Bacteria
Description: partial 16S ribosomal RNA
Rfam family: Bacterial small subunit ribosomal RNA
Source: RNAcentral
GUUCCAGACUCCUACGGGAGGCAGCAGCGGGGGAUAUUGCACAAUGGGGGGAACCCUGAUGCAGCGACGCCGCGUGGGUGAAGGAGCGUUUCGGCGCGUAAAGCCCUGUCAGCAGGGAGGAAAAUGACGGUACCUGAAGAAGAAGCCCCGGCUAACUACGUGCCAGCAGCCGCGGUAAUACGUAGGGGGCAAGCGUUAUCCGGAUUUACUGGGUGUAAAGGGGGCGCAGACGGCGAUGCAAGCCAGGAGUGAAAGCCCGGGGCCCAACCCCGGGACUGCUCUUGGAACUGCGUGGCUGGAGUGCAGGAGGGGCAGGCGGAAUUCCUGGUGUAGCGGUGAAAUGCGUAGAUAUCAGGAGGAACACCGGUGGCGAAGGCGGCCUGCUGGACUGCAACUGACGUUGAGGCCCGAAAGCGUGGGGAGCAAACAGGAUUAGAUACCCCUGUA